UACGUAGGGGGCAAGCGUUGUCCGGAAUCAUUGGGCGUAAAGCGCGUGUAGGCGGUCCGGUAAGUCCGCUGUGAAAGUCGGGGGCUCAACCCUCGGAUGCCGGUGGAUACUGUCGGGCUUGAGUACGGAAGAGGCGAGUGGAAUUCCCGGUGUAGCGGUGAAAUGCGCAGACAUCAGGAGGAACACCAAUUGCGAAGGCAGCUCGCUGGGACGUUACUGACGCUGAGACGCGAAAACGUGGGGAGCAAACAGG
This 253-nucleotide ribosomal RNA is filed under the name uncultured bacterium. RNAcentral's name for it is "partial 16S ribosomal RNA". It matches the Rfam family "Bacterial small subunit ribosomal RNA", at positions 524 to 776 of the family's 1533-position model. The record is from RNAcentral.